This 191-nucleotide ribosomal RNA is filed under the name uncultured bacterium. RNAcentral's name for it is "partial 16S ribosomal RNA". It matches the Rfam family "Bacterial small subunit ribosomal RNA", at positions 328 to 533 of the family's 1533-position model. The record is from RNAcentral.
ACGCUCGACACCUACGGGAGGCAGCAGUGGGGAAUAUUGCACAAUGGAGGAAACUCUGAUGCAGCGAUGCCGCGUGAGGGAAGAAGGUUUUCGGAUUGUAAACCUCUGUCUUUGGGGACGAUAAUGACGGUACCCAAGGAGGAAGCUCCGGCUAACUACGUCGCNNNNNGNGUAUNUGNGCGGCGUGNGAG